Molecule: ribosomal RNA, 352 nt
Filed under: uncultured bacterium
Lineage: Bacteria
Description: bacterial SSU rRNA
Rfam family: Bacterial small subunit ribosomal RNA
Source: RNAcentral
CCGAUAAGAAAUUGGAGGAAGGUGAGGAUGACGUCAAGUCAGCAUGCCCCUUACGCCCUGGGCUACACACGUGCUACAAUGGAUAAGACAAAAAGCAGCGAAUUUGCGAAAAUGUGCUAAUCUCCAAACUUAUCCUUAGUUCAGAUUGUAGGCUGCAACUCGCCUACAUGAAGGUGGAAUCGCUAGUAAUCGCUGGUCAGCUACACAGCGGUGAAUCCGUUCCCGGGCCUUGUACACACCGCCCGUCACACCAUGGAAGUUAGUUAUACCCGAAGUUGUUAUCUUAACCCGUAAGGGAGAGAGACACCUAAGGUAGAAUUAGUGACCGGGGUGAAGUCGUAACAAGGUAACC